RNAcentral lists this ribosomal RNA (460 nucleotides) under uncultured bacterium. RNAcentral describes it as "bacterial SSU rRNA". It matches the Rfam family "Bacterial small subunit ribosomal RNA", at positions 33 to 507 of the family's 1533-position model. The record is from RNAcentral.
ACGCUGGCGGCGUGCUUUAACACAUGCAAGUCGAACGGUGACCCAGGGCUUGCCCUGGUGAUCAGUGGCGAACGGGUGAGUAACACGUGGGCAACCUGCCCCUGACUUCGGGAUAACUCCUCGAAAGAGGAGCUAAUACCGGAUACGACCACUUCGGACAUCCGAUGGUGGUGGAAAGUUUUUCGGUCAGGGAUGGGCCCGCGGCCUAUCAGCUAGUUGGUGGGUAAUGGCCUACCAAGGCGACGACGGGUAGCCGGCCUGGGAGGGCGACCGGCCACACUGGGACUGAGACACGGCCCAGACUCCUACGGGAGGCAGCAGUGGGGAAUAUUGCGCAAUGGCGAAAGCCUGACGCAGCGACGCCGCGUGAGGGAUGAAGGCCUUCGGGUUGUAAACCUCUUUCAGCAGGGACGAAGCGAAAGUGACGGUACCUGCAGAAGAAGCACCGGCUAACUACGUG